UCUGGUGGCAAUAGAGAGAGGGAAACACCUGAUCCCAUCCCGAACUCAGCAGUUAAGACUCUCAUCGCCGAUGGUACUAGUCACAAGAGACUGGGAGAGUAGGUCGCUGCCAGAU
RNAcentral lists this ribosomal RNA (115 nucleotides) under Gammaproteobacteria bacterium RIFCSPLOWO2_02_FULL_47_50. The record is from RNAcentral. Lineage: Bacteria; Pseudomonadati; Pseudomonadota; Gammaproteobacteria.